Long non-coding RNA from Glycine soja, 1608 nucleotides. RefSeq lists it as uncharacterized. The transcript is spliced from 2 exons. NCBI's taxonomy places the organism in Eukaryota, Viridiplantae, Streptophyta, Magnoliopsida, Fabales, Fabaceae. The record is from RefSeq and is a predicted model, not a curated record.
CUCUAUCACUGCUUGCUGUAGCUUACGUUCCAUCUCCUUUUUUUUUUCUCUCUCUCUCUCAAACUCGUUUGUGCUGAGAGAACCAAGGGUUUCUUCCCUUGCAGAGAAGAAAAUUUGGAUACAUAUGGUUAAGUUUAUUUAGAUAUCUUGUUUGUUCUUUCAUCUUUCUCAGAUAUGGUUUGGAAAUGGGAGAUUGGGGAUGAUGGGAAUGUUGUUUGGCUCGAGAAAAAGCUUUAAAGGUUGGAUUUUGAGGCUAUCCCUUUAUGUGAUCUCGGACCAGGCUUCAUUCCCGUCAACCUUAUCUCUCUCUCUUGAGAUCUUCUCCCAUGGAGGGGUGAUGGCUUAUGGUAAUUAAUUAAGGCGAUGUCAAAACAAGACUCUUGUGAUAGAUAUAUCUGGUCAAUGAUGACAUUAAAACUCUCUUGUUUGUUAUUUUUUAUCGGUAAAUAUGUUACUUGUUAAAAUAUUAGUUUUGUUAUUAAGAUUGAUCUGUAAUUUUUUUUCUUAACCAUCCAAUCUAUUAUAUAUCUCCUAUACUUAUUUGUUUUGUUUGUGUUUGUAAAUUCAGACAUUGCAUGGGACAAAACUUGAAACAUUUGUCAAGAACUCUAUUGAACAAGAUGCCUUUGACCUUGUUGUAAUUGGUGCUUUGUUUUUUGUCAUCUUUCUUAUGGCUCCAUUAUACUUUAUAUAUCUUCAUUUCUUUCAACAUCUCUCUCGAUCGUGAGUUAAUUUAACGGUUGAGACUUGAGAUUUGUGCUAUUAUAUAUUAUGUCUAUCUAAAAGGAUCAGGCUCCAAAAUCUUUAUAUAGUAUAUAAUUAUUUUUCUUGGAUUAUGAUUAGUGAGUAAUUGGUAUUAACUUUUUUAAGUUAAAUAUUCUGCGUUGAGAAACCCAAGGAUCUUUGAAAUUCUGUAUUUUGUCAGUAUAUAGGUUUCCCAGCUGUAGCAUCUUUAGGGUUUGAGAUUCCUAACCAUCUUUACUUCCUGUCAAGUUUCAGUCCAUGUGGUUGGCUUCAUUUUUUCAGGUAAUAACAUAUUUCCUUUCUCUAUACAAUACUUCUUCACAUACAUCUUUUCAUAAUUAUUUGUAGUACUAUUUUAGUUUGUGACCUCUCAGCCCAGGUGAAUAGAGAAAAGUGCUGAGAAGAUGCAUGAAGUUAAGAUGAAUUAAUGGAUCUAAAACAUAACAAAAUUGGUGGCACACAAUGCAUACAGAAUUUUCCUUUCAUUUGUUGGUUAUCACUUCAUCGUUUUUCUUGCUUGUUUCUACCAAAAUAAAAGGCGAAAGAGGGAGUGUUGUGGUGGUGGUUGGGCUAGCCUGAAAAAUUGUAAUUCCUACCAAGGUUUUAAAAAAUAUCAGUAACAGGAAUUUCAAUCACAAUAUCAAGCUUUGUGGGCGAUUGCAUCUUGUGGUGACAUCAUCGGUCAUAUUUUUCCACAAUGUCAGGAAUCACAACCACACUUUAAAACCUUUAUACAAUUUUCCUAAACAUGAUUCAGUUUUUGUUGUUGGAUUUUUCGUUUGCUGUCUCACAAGCUUAUGGAUCUUAUUAUCUCCAAAACCUAGCUAGCCAAAAUUUAUAUAAAUUUAUUUGUCUUAUUGCCUA